RNAcentral lists this long non-coding RNA (992 nucleotides) under Capsicum annuum. RNAcentral describes it as "long non-coding RNA (CANN_LNC006194)". Lineage: Eukaryota; Viridiplantae; Streptophyta; Magnoliopsida; Solanales; Solanaceae. The record is from RNAcentral.
CAACAUUGAGUCGAUGUAGAGACAAGUUAACUUGCCUAGUAAAGUAAAUAGAUUUUAGUUGCUGUCAGUGUUGGCGAAACAUAAAAGGAAAAAACUUCUCGAUUCUUCUGGAAUUGAAGUAGGCCUUCUUUUUGUUGUUGCUUUUUUUGGUUUCCCAUUCGGUGUUUGGAAUUUGUAUUAGAGUCCCGACUAAUUUGAAUUGCGUAUUGCAGGGCUCAUUUUAGGGGUGACGCUCCCAAAAGGAUUUUCUCCAUAUCCAGAAUUUAUAUCCGUGACCUCUGAUUAAGGGUGAAGUAAUCCCACCACAACCCACGUUGGUAAGUAAAACUUUUUUGGUCAUAUACAGAUUCCAAAUAUUUCUCUUUUUUUUUUGAAACUUAUGAAGUUGGUACAUGUCCACAUAUAGCAUAUAAUCAACAUGAGUUAAUUUUUAAUAACACUACUGAUUAUUGAGUAAUAUGUGUAUGUGAGAAGGGACGAGGCUACAGCGAGGAAACUAGAUUUACUUAAAUCUAGCGCGUAGUAACGUGGAGGAUGAAACUAACAGUAGUAUAGACCAGUGGCGGAGCCAGAUUUUUGGUUAAGGGUGUUUAUAUUUUUUCUUGGGCAAAGAACUGUUUAAAAAACAAAGAUAGUACAAAGUAUAGACAUUCGAGGGGAAAUUAGAGUUGUUCUUGAAAAGAUAGUCUAACGCCAUCUACCAAAAAAUUAUACUCAAUAAACAAGGUGAAAAUGAUAUGUAAUCUCUAGCUUGACAAGUUGAAAACUCUAAUACAGUGACAAAAGGAAUUCAAAAAUUAUUUUGGAUCACUUAUAUGCAAAUUUUAAGCAUGAAUCUUUAAUAUUCUUUCAGUUCUCUUAUACGAUUCUGAAGAUGUUAUUCAUAUGCUUAAAAAAUGAAUUAUUUUUUUUUUUUUUUUAAUCCUAUCAUUGAUGAUUGCAGGUUGCUGCUAAGAAAGCUAAAAGGGCCUCCCGUUGACCAGAACUUCAGG